AAAAGGGGGGAAUUGGAGGGGGGAGAGGGAGGGAAAUGGGGGAGAAAGGGGCCCCCCUUCCUUCUUUCCUGGCCCUUUCCCAGCCCUUUCCCAGCCCUUUCCCAUCUAUUUCCUGGCUGUUUCCCAUCUAUUUCCCCUCUAUUUCCUGGCCCUUUCCUGACCCUUUCCCAUCUAUUUCCUGGCCCUUUCCCAGCUGCUUCCCAUCUAUUUCCUGGCUGUUUCCCAGCCCUUUCCCAUCUAUUUCCUGACCCUUUCCCAUCUCUUUCCCAUCUAUUUCCCCUCUAUUUCCUGGCCCUUUCCUGGCCCUUUCCCAUCUAUUUCCCAUCUGUUUCCUGGCCCUUUUCCAUCCAUUUCCCAUCUCUUUCCCAUCUAUUUCCUGGCCCUUUCCUGGCCCUUUCCCAUCUAUUUCCUGGCCCUUUCCUAACCCUUUCCCAUCUAUUUCCCCCCUCUUUCCCCUCUAUUUCCUGACCCUUUCCCAUCUCUUUCCCAUCUCUUUCCCAUCUCUUUCCCAUCUCUUUCCCAUCUAUUUCCCAUCUCUUUCCCCUCUAUUUCCUGACCCUUUCCCAUCUCUUUCCCCUCUAUUUCCUGGCCCUUUCCCAGCCCUUUCCCAUCUCUUUCCCAUCUAUUUCCUGACCCUUCCCCAUCUAUUUCCUGGCCCUUUCUCAUCUCUUUCCCAUCUAUUUCCUGGCCCCUUCCUGGCCCUUUCCUGACCCUUUCCCAUCUGUUUCCCAGCCCUUUCCUGUCUAUUUCCUGGCCCUUUCCUGGCCCUUUCCCAUCUAUUUCCCAUCUAUUUCCUGGCCCUUUCCUGACCCUUUCCCAUCUAUUUCCCAUCUAUUUCCUGGCCCUUUCCUGACCCUUUCCCAUCUCUUUCCCAGCCCUUUCCCAUCUAUUUCCUGGCCCUUUCCUGUCCAUUUCCCAUCUCUUUCCCCUCUAUUUCCUGGCCCUUUCCCAUCUCUUUCCCCUCUAUUUCCUGGCCCUUUCCUGUCCAUUUCCCCUCUCUUUCCCCUCUAUUUCCUGGCCCUUUCCCAUUUAUUUCCCAUUUAUUUCCCAUUUAUUUCCCCUCUAUUUCCCCUCCCUUCCCCAUCCCUUUCCCUCCUAUUCCCCAUCCAUUUCCCACCCCGUUUCCCAUCCUCACCUUCCUCU
RNAcentral lists this long non-coding RNA (1143 nucleotides) under Calidris pugnax (ruff). RNAcentral describes it as "lncRNA (ENSCPUG00000018189.1)". Lineage: Eukaryota; Metazoa; Chordata; Aves; Charadriiformes; Scolopacidae. The record is from RNAcentral.